GAUUUCUGGCUUGAAACAUUUUGCCGGCCACGGUUUCGUGUGUUAGUGCUUGAUGUUCUGGCCAUCCUUCCAAUCGCUAUUGGCCUUUCUUCACUGAUUGGUCAGUAGUAUUGGAUCUUUUACUUUGAAAAAAUUAGAGUGUUUCAAGCAGGCUUUAUGCUAUGAAUACAUUAGCAUGGAAUAAUAAUUUAGGACUUCGGUUCUAUUUUGUUGGUUUCUAGGACUGAAGUAAUGAUUGAUAGGGAUAGUUGGGGGUGCUAGUAUUCAGCGGCCAGAGGUGAAAUUCUCGGAUUCGCUGAAGACUAACUUAUGCGAAAGCAUU
This 322-nucleotide ribosomal RNA is filed under the name uncultured Cercozoa. RNAcentral's name for it is "SSU rRNA". The stretch from base 112 to 322 matches the Rfam family "Eukaryotic small subunit ribosomal RNA", at positions 744 to 955 of the family's 1831-position model. The record is from RNAcentral. Lineage: Eukaryota; Cercozoa.